CGAGCGUCUGGGCGGGUGGUAGGUGAGUGGGUAUUGCGGGCUAGUAUCCGAGCAAAAGAUGGUGGCGCAGGCCGAGUUAAGAGCUUUAAUCCUGUGAAGACAUCUUAGUGAAGAGUUUAGAGUGCUGAGAGUUGAAAGCUUGCACGUGGGAAACGUGCGGCCGGACUGCCACAUGUACUGAGGUUGAGUCGUGACGGCCACAGGCUCCGAGUUUUGGCGUGAGGAACCGCUGAUCGGCCACGGGCGCCGAACUUGCUGGCCUCCGGCAUGUGCCUGAGCGGCGGCGGAAAAACCACCUUAAUUGGGGCGGAGGGUUAGUUUUAACAGCAAAGGGCCUUUACUAAAAUGGCGAAGGCCUUCCGUCGGCGUUGUUUUAAAAUGGGAAGCCUCGACCCUGUAUUGAAACUGAGCUGUUCGAAGGCGGCGUUGUGUGCAAUUCGGAUUAAUGAAGGGGAAGGGUUUUGUGUGGAAAAACGCCUUGGAGUGUGACAUUUCUGCGAGAAUGCUUAAAUACCGAUUUCCCGCAGGAACAAUGGCGCUGUCUUCAGUGGCACAGUGGAGCAGCUCUGAAGAUGCAAAGAUACACGAAAAAACUUCCAGAACAUCUGGGAGAAUAUUUAAUGGAAAAUCGCUUGGUUAAAACCUGACACUUUUAACAGGUAUGUGUUGUUUUAGUACUUUAUGAUUGAGCAUAGCAUUUAAUCCACACCUAGACUAAAUCAAAUUUUUUUUGUCAGUGAACAGCGUUCUGAGUGUGGACGAGUAGCCAGUGAAGAUAAUGAAUGUCGAAUGUGACUGACUAGCAGCUUCAUUUUGAAGUAGGUUGUAUGGCUUAAAAGUUCUGUAGUAUUUGUACUAUAAUACUUGCCUUUUAGCAUUACCUUGGUUUGUAGUCAGUGUCACAGAAGUGCAGUUUAAUGUAUUAUGUGUACAUAUACAAGGUCUGAUUGGUCUAAUCAAUGAUGAAACCUAUCCCGAAGCUGAUAACCUGAAGAAAAAUAAGUACGGAUUCGGCUUCUGAGAUUAAGACCAGUAAUUCAGAGGUGGAGUAAAUUUUGUUGCCGUGAUUUUAUAACAGUUGUGUUAUAAAAUCCUGGGUUUUUUUUUUUUCUGCCAACAGUGAGGGUCGCUGUCUGCCCAUUGAUAGAGGCCAGAUUGUCUUGGAAGUUCCAAAGUUGCAACGAUUUCUGUAAGUGGAGUUUUUCUGUUUGCUUAGAGAUCAGUGAAUAUUGUGUCCUUGGUCUUAUCUGUGAUGAUCUUAUCCCGAACCUGAACUUCUGUUGAAAAAAAAAAACUUUUACGGAUCUGGCUUCUGAGAUGGACCGUUAUAAGGACAAUAUUUUUUUUUAAUACUUUUAAUGCUUUUACAUAUGUUGUAAUGUUUGUAGUCUUGUAAGAAUCUCGUGUUUUUCCUUUUCUAGGGCUAGUGCCACGAGGUUUACUUGACUGUUGUGUGAAAAGCUGAUAAGAAAACCAUCCAGAAAAAAGCUCUUCGUUUUACAAACAUGAAAAUAAAACAUGUAAUUUUG
This 1529-nucleotide long non-coding RNA is filed under the name Homo sapiens (human). RNAcentral describes it as "long non-coding RNA NONHSAT209389.1". The stretch from base 1245 to 1319 matches the Rfam family "Small nucleolar RNA SNORD50". The record is from RNAcentral. Lineage: Eukaryota; Metazoa; Chordata; Mammalia; Primates; Hominidae.